Molecule: long non-coding RNA, 556 nt
Organism: Chinchilla lanigera (long-tailed chinchilla)
Lineage: Eukaryota; Metazoa; Chordata; Mammalia; Rodentia; Chinchillidae
Source: Ensembl
GGAGUCCAAGGAACAUACACACUGUUGGGCACACACGCAGGCUUGAUAGAGGAGGUUCACCCGGGGGACUUCUUUGGCAGAGGCACACAGCCUAGUUCUGGCUCUUGAAGAGCCCAUAUUCUACAGGAGAAGCAGAGAGGCCCAUAACCAUCUAAGCUAGAAUUGAGUGUAAAUGAGUGUGCCAGUGACGGCGGCGGCUGCCAGGGCCAGUGCUGAAUACGGCUGGCAGUUCUUGCUGCAGAUGUCAAGCUGGCCAGAAGCUGAGGAGGACGGCAGAGGGUGUGAAGGUCACAGUUCCGGCUGCCUGUUUACUGAUCUGGCACCGUGCAACUUCUGGCUCUUUGCCAAACUCCAAAUGUCACGAGAGGCAACAUUCUGCCAGGACAGAGCAAUCAGAGACGUGGAAGAGAACUUCUCUGUCCAUGACUGUGCGGUGGUGAAUGGAGGCUGCCCGCAGCGCGGUAGUAACACUCUGCGCACCUUCCGCUGUGAGCGUGAUGCAGGAUGCGGACGCCGUGCUGCCGAACACACCUGCAGAAACAACAGAAAUCUUUAG